UACGAAGGGUGCAAACGUUGCUCGGAAUCAUUGGGCGUAAAGCGCACGUAGGCGGCAUUCUAAGUCGGAUGUGAAAUCCCUCGGCUCAACCGAGGACGUGCAUCCGAAACUGGAACGCUCGAGUAUGGAAGAGGGUCGCGGAAUUCUCGGUGUAGAGGUGAAAUUCGUAGAUAUCGGGAGGAACACCAGUGGCGAAGGCGGCUUCCUGGACACUAACUGACGCUGAGACGCGAAAGCGUGGGGAGCAAACAGG
This 253-nucleotide ribosomal RNA is filed under the name uncultured bacterium. Its description in RNAcentral is "partial 16S ribosomal RNA". It matches the Rfam family "Bacterial small subunit ribosomal RNA", at positions 524 to 776 of the family's 1533-position model. The record is from RNAcentral.